UAAUGGUUAUUCUUAGAAAAGGCUUGCCUGUCACACUUCCUGUGGCAAUGUUGCAAGGAAAUAGUUGUUUUCAUGGAGACUCUACCUGUUGUUCUAGUCAGUGGCCAAUAGAAUUGAGCCUAGGGACUGGCAGAGAAGUGUCUGGGAUGCUAAGGAGCAAUUGCUUGGUGGGUAGCUUAGAAGGACAUUAAGACAAAGCCUCUUUUCCCCCCAACAUAUACUAAAAAUAACCUUGACCAGAGCUGUGAGGCUGACAGUUGUUUUAUAACAUUGAUUAGCACAUAGGUUCUCAGUGAAUCAGGAUUUGCUACCUCACAGGGUUAAGUAGCCUGUUUCACUUUUGUAUUGAUCUAGUCAUUAGAGUUACUUCUUUCAUUGAGCCAAGGCUUUUCCACCUUUAUUCCCACCUGUUGUAUGUAGUUUUACUCUCUCGAUCUCUAGCAAAUAAGGCUGAUCACUUUUGUUGGAAUUUUAAGAUUUAAUUUAUUUUGGAAUGGCUGCCUGGGCUACUUUUAAUCCUCUAGUAUAUUACAAGAGAAAAUGAAUCAGUGGCAAGAAUUAAACUUACAAGAUGCAGAGGACAAAGUGCUGCCUGUGAAGGUAAAUUUUGUCUUAAGAUUUGCCAGUCCCUUGCAGCCCUUUUAAUGAGGCAACUCAGUCUACAUCUGUCUAGCCAAAAUAAGUAAAAGACAGAUCAUUGCCCUGUCCCCUUCCCCUCCUCCAUUCCUAAGCCACAUACAUAACUGGUAGAAAAUUACCAAGAUCCCCCAUUGAGUUGUAAGGUACCAUCUUUCCACAGCCUUGACUUUGGCUGUCCCUUUCGCUGCACUCUCCCUCUGUGUAUUCUAUUCAGUCUCCUGCCCUCCUUCUUCAGCAGCUAUUCCUCCACCCGUUUUGCCUCUUCCAGAAAUGUAACCUUUGUGCCAUACUCGUCAUCUUGUAGUUUAACCCCUUUUUAAGAAAAAAGUUCCUUUAUCCUCAUUGUAUCUGGGCCUCUUGGAGAAGAGAGAAAUACGCACUGUCCAUCAGCCAGUUUGUACCAGAAGCAGUAAUACAACAUGUAUAGUCAACUGUACAAACGUGUUAAGUUUGGAAAACAGGGAAAAGUAAACAUCUAUAAUCAUACCAUACUAACACAAAUCCAUUCAUCUGUUUAUUUAUACGCUUAUUCAUUCAUUCAAAUCACCAGAUAUUUACUGACUACCUAUUAUGGUAGUAACUGCCAUGCCUUGUAGGGAAUUAUGUUCUGGUAAGGGAACUGUAGCUAAGUAGAAACAACCACUAAAAUACCACUGUUUCGGUAUAUUUUUAUUGUAUCUUAAUCUUACAGUUUUUCUAAUACAUUGCAGUUAUACAGUCUAUACAGUCUUGCAUGCUUUAUCCUACUUUUUAACUUACAGCACAUGACAAGAGAGGGGCAAAACUAUUUAUUCAAUAUUUUUGCCUGUCAGGAAUAAGAUCCUAUUUUUUUUUAAUGUUUAUUUAUUUUUGAGACAGAGACAGAGCAUAGGUGGGGGAGGGACAGAGAGAGAGAGGGAGACACAGAAUCCGAAGCAGGCUCCAAGCUCUGAACUAUCAGCACAGAGCCUGAUGCGGGGCUUGAACUCACAAACCGUGAGAUCAUGACCUGAGCCGAAGUCAGUCGCUCAACUGACUGAGCCACCCAGGCACCCCAGGAUCCUAUUAUUUUUAACCUGAGUCUGCAGUUCAUAUAGCAGGCCCUGUUCCUGAUCUGCUUCACAGAGCCUAUCUCUAGCUAUACUGUUUGUCCACCUUAUAACUGGGUGAGCUUUGGGUAGAUAGGUACUUCUCAUUGCCCAGCAGUCUUCAAUAAGGGUGCCAGUUGAGCUCACUCUUAUUUAAUUGGAGGUUGGGGCAGAAUAGGCAUCAGUCUGUGAAGAGGAUCAGCCCUGGGCCAGCUAUUUCAGUUCCUUACAGAUCAGCGUGCGUGCGGAUGAUAGAGGUCUCACGACUUGAACCAUAAGACCGUGAUCCUGUGGAUGUUUUCUCCUCUCUUGACUCGACUCUUCUUCCUUUAUUCCUUCCUUCCUUCCUUCCUUCCUUCCUUCCUUCCUUCCUUCCUUCCACAGUCUUAUUGUUUUACCUCUUCUCUUCCCAGAUUUUCACAAAAGACUACUUGUUUUUUUUUCUGGAAUGCCACCUCUCCACAUGGAAAAGUGAAGGCCUAGUUCAUUUGAUUUCUUCUUGUAGUUUUACUCUCAGGAAUAGAGAAGGGGGAGGGAAUAGGGCAAUGAUCUGUUUUUCACUUUUUUUGGCUAGAUAGCUACAGAUUCAGUUACCUCAUUAAAAAGGCGGCAGUGACUGGCAAAUCUUAAGACAAAACUUACCUUCACGUGGGGCACUUUGUCCUCUGCAUCUUAUAAGUUUAAUUCUAGCCACUGCUUCAUUUUCUCUUGCAGUAUAUUAGUCUUACAAAUUUCAUAGCCUCAGGUGUCCAUUUGGGGUCUGUAGCUUUAGCCCUUGCCUGGUUUCUGCUCUCUUUGUAGUUAGAAUCAUAUUUUAAUAUAACUAAAUCAUACCCCAGUAUUUUUUUUUUUACAAUUCAGUGGUUUUUAGCAUAUUCACAAAGUUGUGCGACCAUCACCACAAUCUAAGAACUUUUUCAUCACCUCAGUAAGAAACCACACAUCCAUUAGCUGUCACUCUUCAUUUCCCUUACUCUUCUGCCAGCCCUAAUUAACCACUUGUCUAUUUUCUGUCUCUGUAAUCUUUCAUUUCUACUGUUGGUAGAGAGGAUAAAUGCAGAUGGGGAGAAAGGUGAGCUCUGGUUCGGAAGUGAGCUUCUGCUUCUGAUUUCUGCUUAUCUGCCAUCCCCCAAACUUGAAGUUAAAUAAAACUCCUUGCCUCUUUGAAGAUGUUCUUCCAAAGAUUUCCAUCUGAUCUCCAAAAGAUAAUUAUACAUAAUAUCUGUAAACGUAAAUAUAUUCCUAAAUGUACUCUUAUUUCAUAAGUUUAAUCUUAUUUCUUGUGAAUGAGUGAUCCUAGUGCACACACAUGCACACACACUCACCUGGCCUCUAUAUUUCAAAGCCUUCUUCAAAGCCAGACAAAGCCAGACAAUGAAGGGCAUCAUGCCUCAAACACUGUCCCCUAAUUUCCUGAUUCCUAGGUUUUCCAAAUCAGGCUGCCAUGCUUAUAUCUUGGUGAUUUUUAGAUAUCUCACAAUACUAAGUAACAGUAAAGAGUGGGAGUCAGUAGAAUGAACCAUGGGGAAUGACUUGGGGGAAACACCCCCUCUCUGCUGUGUAUACAAUUAGAAUUGACCAGGGAGAGACAAAGAGGGGUGGCAGGGCAGUAUGAGAAGGCUCUUUAGCAGUUAUCUUUUCCAGCUAGAGCAUCUUGGCCUACCUAGCAUCCCCACCCCUCCACAGUGGUCCUUUGUGAUGUCUAAGCUCCCCUUAACCACCAUUGGCUGCAGUGAGUGCCCUGCUGACUAAACAGACAGAAGGGGUGUGACUCCCCAUUGUUCUGGGAGAGGUAUAUAUACAGAGGACAAACUCCUGGGGUUAGACAACUGAGAGGCUGCAAGAUGGCAAAAGUGGUGAAGAAAUCAUGGAAACCGCAAACCACAAGCACCAAGCGGUGGAAGAAGAGGAAGACCACCUCUCAACCCAGAUCAAGAGGCAUUAGCAAGGUGCUAAAGACAUACAAGAAGAUGAAAAGAUCACUUCACAUGAGUUUAAGAAAAAAAUACUCUCCUAAAGUUAAAACUACUUCAAGAAGAAAGAAGAGAGCAAGGAGGGCCAAUUAGUUUCACCCAUAGACUGAGCCAAAAGCAGCCAGGCCAGACCCAACGGACUCUAUAGAACUACACCACUCCAAGACAAGACCGGUGGAAACACUACAUAUAGAGCAAGCUUCAGAGACCUCAGACGGUCUGCCUCUAGAGUCCUGGCUGCGGAGAAGUGGCCAACUGCAUAGAGACUGAUACAGAUGCUAAUAUGAAACAUGGAACACAAAUGGAGGUGAUUAAAAUAAAACCAACAGGGUGUAAGAAGCCCCUCCAAAAAAUAAAAUCAGGCAUUCUGCGUAGAAAUGAA
Long non-coding RNA from Acinonyx jubatus (cheetah), 4061 nucleotides. RefSeq lists it as uncharacterized. Lineage: Eukaryota; Metazoa; Chordata; Mammalia; Carnivora; Felidae. The record is from RefSeq and is a predicted model, not a curated record. The transcript has 2 exons.